GAUGAAGAACGUAGCGAAAUGUGAUAAGUAAUGUGAAUUGCAGAAUUCAGUGAAUCAUCGAAUCUUUGAACGCACAUUGCGCCCCUUGGUAUUCCGAGGGGCAUGCCUGUUCGAGCGUCAUUAUAACCCCUCAAGCUCAGCUUGGUGUUGGGGCCUGCUGCACUGGCAGCCCUUAAAAUCAGUGGCGGCGCCAUCUGGCUCUAAGCGUAGUAAUUCUUCUCGCUAUGGAGUCCUGGUGGAUGCUUGCCAUCAACCCCCAAUUUUUCUAUGGUUGACCUCGGAUCAGGAAGGGAUACCCGCUGAACUUAAGCAUAUCAAUAAGCGGAGGA
This 329-nucleotide unclassified non-coding RNA is filed under the name soil metagenome. RNAcentral describes it as "partial contains 5.8S ribosomal RNA, internal transcribed spacer 2, and large subunit ribosomal RNA". The stretch from base 1 to 120 matches the Rfam family "5.8S ribosomal RNA", at positions 35 to 154 of the family's 154-position model. The record is from RNAcentral.